CCACCACUAAGCCAGUGGUGAACUCCACAUCCGCAUCCUUUGCUGAGGAUACGGUUAACGGAGCGAAAGCGACGUUCAACCGCAAAACAAGCAGAGGGGGCUUAGUGGUGGGGUGACUGCGUACCUUUUGUAUAAUGGGUCAGCGACUUAUAUUCUGUAGCAAGGUUAACCGUAUAGGGGAGCCGGAGGGAAACCGAGUCUUAAUUGGGCGUUAAGUUGCAGGGUAUAGACCCGAAACCCGGUGAUCUAGCCAUGGGCAGGUUGAAGGUUGGGUAACACUAACUGGAGGACCGAACCGACUAAUGUUGAAAAAUUAGCGGAUGACCUGUGGCUGGGGGUGAAAGGCCAAUCAAACCGGGAGAUAGCUGGUUCUCCCCGAAAGCUAUUUAGGUAGCGCCUCGUGAAUUCAUCUCCGGGGGUAGAGCACUGUUUCGGCUAGGGGGCCAUCCCGGCUUACCAACCCGAUGCAAACUGCGAAUACCGGAGAAUGUUAUCACGGGAGACACACGGCGGGUGCUAACGUCCGUCGUGAAGAGGGAAACAACCCAGACCGCCAGCUAAGGUCCCAAAGUCAUGGUUAAGUGGGAAACGAUGUGGGAAGGCCCAGACAGCCAGGAUGUUGGCUUAGAAGCAGCCAUCAUUUAAAGAAAGCGUAAUAGCUCACUGGUCGAGUCGGCCUGCGCGGAAGAUGUAACGGGGCUAAACCAUGCACCGAAGCUGCGGCAGCGAACGUAUCACCCAAGACAACUUUACGGAGUUGACGAUUGACGGAGCGAAGCGACGUCAAAGCGUUCAUUAAAGUCGAGUUGGCUUAGGGAUACGUUCGUUGGGUAGGGGAGCGUUCUGUAAGCCUGUGAAGGUGUGUCGUGAGGCAUGCUGGAGGUAUCAGAAGUGCGAAUGCUGACAUAAGUAACGAUAAAGCGGGUGAAAAGCCCGCUCGCCGGAAGACCAAGGGUUCCUGUCCAACGUUAAUCGGGGCAGGGUGAGUCGACCCCUAAGGCGAGGCCGAAAGGCGUAGUCGAUGGGAAACGGGUUAAUAUUCCCGUACUUGGUGUUACUGCGAAGGGGGGACGGAGAAGGCUAUGUUGGCCGGGCGACGGUUGUCCCGGUUUAAGCGUGUAGGUGUGUGUUCCAGGUAAAUCCGGUUCACUUUAACACUGAGGCGUGACGACGAGGCACUACGGUGCUGAAGCAACAAAUGCCCUGCUUCCAGGAAAAGCCUCUAAGCAUCAGGUAACAUCAAAUCGUACCCCAAACCGACACAGGUGGUCAGGUAGAGAAUACCAAGGCGCUUGAGAGAACUCGGGUGAAGGAACUAGGCAAAAUGGUGCCGUAACUUCGGGAGAAGGCACGCUGACACGUAGGUGAAGUGAUUUACUCAUGGAGCUGAAGUCAGUCGAAGAUACCAGCUGGCUGCAACUGUUUAUUAAAAACACAGCACUGUGCAAACACGAAAGUGGACGUAUACGGUGUGACGCCUGCCCGGUGCCGGAAGGUUAAUUGAUGGGGUCAGCGCAAGCGAAGCUCCUGAUCGAAGCCCCGGUAAACGGCGGCCGUAACUAUAACGGUCCUAAGGUAGCGAAAUUCCUUGUCGGGUAAGUUCCGACCUGCACGAAUGGCGUAAUGAUGGCCAGGCUGUCUCCACCCGAGACUCAGUGAAAUUGAACUCGCUGUGAAGAUGCAGUGUACCCGCGGCAAGACGGAAAGACCCCGUGAACCUUUACUAUAGCUUGACACUGAACAUUGAGCCUUGAUGUGUAGGAUAGGUGGGAGGCUUUGAAGUGUGGACGCCAGUCUGCAUGGAGCCGACCUUGAAAUACCACCCUUUAAUGUUUGAUGUUCUAACGUGGACCCGUAAUCCGGGUUGCGGACAGUGUCUGGUGGGUAGUUUGACUGGGGCGGUCUCCUCCUAAAGAGUAACGGAGGAGCACGAAGGUUGGCUAAUCCUGGUCGGACAUCAGGAGGUUAGUGCAAUGGCAUAAGCCAGCUUGACUGCGAGCGUGACGGCGCGAGCAGGUGCGAAAGCAGGUCAUAGUGAUCCGGUGGUUCUGAAUGGAAGGGCCAUCGCUCAACGGAUAAAAGGUACUCCGGGGAUAACAGGCUGAUACCGCCCAAGAGUUCAUAUCGACGGCGGUGUUUGGCACCUCGAUGUCGGCUCAUCACAUCCUGGGGCUGAAGUAGGUCCCAAGGGUAUGGCUGUUCGCCAUUUAAAGUGGUACGCGAGCUGGGUUUAGAACGUCGUGAGACAGUUCGGUCCCUAUCUGCCGUGGGCGCUGGAGAACUGAGGGGGGCUGCUCCUAGUACGAGAGGACCGGAGUGGACGCAUCACUGGUGUUCGGGUUGUCAUGCCAAUGGCACUGCCCGGUAGCUAAAUGCGGAAGAGAUAAGUGCUGAAAGCAUCUAAGCACGAAACUUGCCCCGA
RNAcentral lists this ribosomal RNA (2422 nucleotides) under Salmonella enterica subsp. enterica serovar Typhimurium. RNAcentral's name for it is "partial 23S ribosomal RNA". It matches the Rfam family "Bacterial large subunit ribosomal RNA". The record is from RNAcentral. Lineage: Bacteria; Pseudomonadati; Pseudomonadota; Gammaproteobacteria; Enterobacterales; Enterobacteriaceae.